RNAcentral lists this ribosomal RNA (472 nucleotides) under Crypticerya sp. CCG-AL-5. RNAcentral describes it as "bacterial SSU rRNA". It matches the Rfam family "Eukaryotic small subunit ribosomal RNA", at positions 169 to 559 of the family's 1831-position model. The record is from RNAcentral. Lineage: Eukaryota; Metazoa; Arthropoda; Insecta; Hemiptera; Monophlebidae.
AUGCCGAUAGAGUUCCGCCCAUCAGUCGAGUUGGUUCGCAAGUCUCUUGCGGCCUCUCGACGUUCGGAAGGAACGCUUUUAUUAGAUCAAAACCGGCCAGACGGCGUACCGUUUCGACGGUGCGUCGUAAACGGCCCGCGCAAAGACUUGGUGACUCUGAAUAACUUUGAGCUGAUCGCACGGUCCUAGCACCGGCGACGCAUCUUUCAAAUGUCUGCCUUAUCAACUGUCGACGGUAGGUUCGACGCCUACCGUGGUGGUAACGGGUAACGGGGAAUCAGGGUUCGAUUCCGGAGAGGGAGCCUGAGAAACGGCUACCACAUCCAAGGAAGGCAGCAGGCGCGCAAAUUACCCACUCCCGGCACGGGGAGGUAGUGACGAAAAAUAACGAUACGGGACUCAAAUGAGGCCCCGUAAUCGGAAUGAGUACACUGUAAAACAUUGGUCGCACGAGGAUCAAUUGGAGGGCAAG